Molecule: long non-coding RNA, 724 nt
Filed under: Equus asinus (donkey)
Lineage: Eukaryota; Metazoa; Chordata; Mammalia; Perissodactyla; Equidae
Description: lncRNA (ENSEASG00005035699.1)
Source: RNAcentral
GUGAUAGCUGUGGGGGUGGGGAGUGUAUUGGAUGCUGGAUACUGCAUCUGAGGAUGGAGCUGACAGUCUGGAAUGCCAGGGAGAAGGAAGCAUCAACUCAUAAUCAGCAUCAUCCCUUCUAGGGGUACCUGACUCUAACUUUCCAAGAGUUCUCACAUGCAGGUUCGUCUCUCAUCCCCUGGCAGCCUUGAGGCUGUUCUUGGGAAGAACAGAUGUUGUGGACCCUGCUGACCAAUGAGGAAGCUGAAACUCAGGCUGUAAGAGAUGUGAGAAGGGAAGAUGAAGAGAUGCCUUCUGACGACCAGCAUAACCUCAGGCACUCCCAAAGACCUAUGAGGCAUUGGUAUUACAGGUUUGACAAUGAUGUGAAAAACCACACCCUGUAGGCCGAAUCCAGCCUCGAGGCCUGGUGAUACCCGGCAGGAAAGAAGCGAAGUGGAAGAUGGCUCAGGAAGUCUGACUCCAGGCUAAUUCCUUGAGGAAAGCUGGCUUGCCAGGAGCAGUGGAGGCAAGCUAUUGGCUCAGAGUGAAGGAAGAUUUCUGAAAAUACAAAACAUGAUGUCAGGGGGGAGCAAUCUCUGAGGGUCUUUUCCCCAGACUAUGGGUAAGUCACUUAACCUUUCUGAGUCUCAGUUUUCUUGCUUAUAAGUUUUUCUUGACCCCAAAGUGUCCCAGAGUAGAAGUAUCUGGACACCCUAUAUGAACUGGCAGCACCCCAUCCUGG